RNAcentral lists this ribosomal RNA (253 nucleotides) under uncultured bacterium. RNAcentral's name for it is "partial 16S ribosomal RNA". It matches the Rfam family "Bacterial small subunit ribosomal RNA", at positions 524 to 776 of the family's 1533-position model. The record is from RNAcentral.
UACGUAGGGUGCGAGCGUUGUCCGGAAUUACUGGGCGUAAAGAGCUCGUAGGUGGUUUGUCGCGUUGUUCGUGAAAACUCACAACUCAAUUGUGGGCGUGCGGGCGAUACGGGCAGACUGGAGUACUGCAGGGGAGACUGGAAUUCCUGGUGUAGCGGUGGAAUGCGCAGAUAUCAGGAGGAACACCGGUGGCGAAGGCGGGUCUCUGGGCAGUAACUGACGCUGAGGAGCGAAAGCGUUGGGAGCGAACAGG